GGCCUGAUGGUCUAGUGGUAUGAUUGUCGCUUCGUAAGCCAGCCCACCAGCCAUCUCCUCUCUGUUCUCCCAUCUAACAGUCCUUUCAGGGGUUUCCUACCUGGAUACAGUGUAUCUGUUGUGUGACAGGCCCCGGGUUCGAAUCCCGGUCAGGCCC
Molecule: transfer RNA, 157 nt
Organism: Alternaria alternata
Lineage: Eukaryota; Fungi; Ascomycota; Dothideomycetes; Pleosporales; Pleosporaceae
Rfam family: tRNA
About the family: Transfer RNA (tRNA) molecules are approximately 80 nucleotides in length. Their secondary structure includes four short double-helical elements and three loops (D, anti-codon, and T loops). Further hydrogen bonds mediate the characteristic L-shaped molecular structure. tRNAs have two regions of fundamental functional importance: the anti-codon, which is responsible for specific mRNA codon recognition, and the 3' end, to which the tRNAs corresponding amino acid is attached (by aminoacyl-tRNA synthetases). tRNAs cope with the degeneracy of the genetic code in two manners: having more than one tRNA (with a specific anti-codon) for a particular amino acid; and 'wobble' base-pairing, i.e. permitting non-standard base-pairing at the 3rd anti-codon position.
Source: Rfam